AGUGAACGCUGGCGGUAGGCCUAACACAUGCAAGUCGAACGGCAGCACAGUAAGAGCUUGCUCUUACGGGUGGCGAGUGGCGGACGGGUGAGGAAUACAUCGGAAUCUACUUUUUCGUGGGGGAUAACGUAGGGAAACUUACGCUAAUACCGCAUACGACCUACGGGUGAAAGCAGGGGAUCUUCGGACCUUGCGCGAUUGAAUGAGCCGAUGUCGGAUUAGCUAGUUGGCGGGGUAAAGGCCCACCAAGGCGACGAUCCGUAGCUGGUCUGAGAGGAUGAUCAGCCACACUGGAACUGAGACACGGUCCAGACUCCUACGGGAGGCAGCAGUGGGGAAUAUUGGACAAUGGGCGCAAGCCUGAUCCAGCCGUACCGCGUGGGUGAAGAAGGCCUUCGGGUUGUAAAGCCCUUUUGUUGGGAAAGAAAAGCAGCAGGUUAAUACCCCGCUGUUCUGACGGUACCCAAAGAGUAAGCACCGGCUAACUUCGUG
This 492-nucleotide ribosomal RNA is filed under the name uncultured bacterium. RNAcentral describes it as "partial 16S ribosomal RNA". It matches the Rfam family "Bacterial small subunit ribosomal RNA", at positions 29 to 507 of the family's 1533-position model. The record is from RNAcentral.